This is a long non-coding RNA of Peromyscus leucopus (white-footed mouse), 935 nucleotides long. RefSeq lists it as uncharacterized. The record is from RefSeq and is a predicted model, not a curated record. The transcript has 3 exons. Lineage: Eukaryota; Metazoa; Chordata; Mammalia; Rodentia; Cricetidae.
UGCGGGAGCGGGACGGCGACCUGGGCUGCGGCCGGAGUGAGCUCUGUGUACGGCCGGGCGGCCACACCACGGGCUUCUGCAGCCCAGGAGGCUGUCCUUACGCGAGCUCCGAGAGGGACUUCAGGGCCUGGAACUCGCAGGACUCGGACACCAGUCAGGUUUGAGCACACAAGGGAGACUGGAGGAGGACUGUGAGCCCCCAAAUGAGUGAGGAGGACCGACAGACAUCUGAGAAUCUGCCUUUGACACUAAGGUUGGUGGUGCUGGCCCUGUCUGAGACUGGGCUUCUUGGCAUGUGUGUUAUGUGAUCUGGGACUACCCUGAAGGCUUGUUGGUGUGAUCAACAUUCAGUAGCAAUAAGCAUCACGAGGGCAGUGUGGAGAGAUGGUUUGGUUCCCAGCACCCACGUGGCACCUCACAACUGUCUAUAACUCCAGCUCCAGGGGAUCCGACACGGUUGUCCGGUUUCUGUGGCUGUUGCACAUAUGUGGUGUGCAUACCGACGUGCAGGCAAAGCACUCGUACACGUAUAGAUGAAUAAAUAAUAAAUAGUUUUACAAAGCAUGGAGACUGGAGGAGUGGUUCGGUCACCUAAGUGCUUGCUGACAGAGCAGGAGGACCCGAGCGGGAUCCUCAGCACCCGUGUGAAAAAGCUCUUCACGGCAGGCAGCAUGUGCCUGGAAUCCCAGCACUCGAUGGGGAGGUGGAAACAGGUGGAUCCCCGGAGGUCACUGGCCAGUCAGUCUCUUGGAAGUGAGGAGUGAUGAGCAAGUCACCUGAUGUCAACGUCCGGCCUCCACACAAAUACGCAUGACGGAAAAACUGAGAUGAAAGAGGACAGAUAAUGUCUCUCACAUCCCAACCUAAUUCCCUUUGCAAACCAUGAGUGUUUGUGGGAGAUGCCAAAAUCUAUAAUAAACGUAAUUUAUAAUGGG